AUGUACUUGAGCCUAGACUCGGAAUUCCUGUCGACAGUACAUAUAAGAUGGAGCUUGUCAAAAUUGGCAUUCCUGUCGACAGUACAUAUAAGAUGGAGCUUGUCAAAAUUUCGUUCUUAUAUGGAAUGUUUCAGAGCAAACCAUCGACAGAUUAUCCUUGGAGAUUCGUUCUCCCCAUUGACAGAUGGAGCUGUUUCCACUGCGGCAUGCAUGAUGACAUGGGCCAGGUCGCCACGGAAAAAAC
Molecule: long non-coding RNA, 244 nt
Filed under: Zea mays
Lineage: Eukaryota; Viridiplantae; Streptophyta; Magnoliopsida; Poales; Poaceae
Description: long non-coding RNA (ZMAY_LNC000550)
Source: RNAcentral